AGUCGAACGAGCGAGAGAGAGCUUGCUUUCUCGAGCGAGUGGCGAACGGGUGAGUAACGCGUGAGGAACCUGCCUCAAAGAGGGGGACAACAGUUGGAAACGACUGCUAAUACCGCAUAAGCCCACGGCUCGGCAUCGAGCAGAGGGAAAAGGAGCAAUCCGCUUUGAGAUGGCCUCGCGUCCGAUUAGCUGGUUGGUGAGGUAACGGCCCACCAAGGCGACGAUCGGUAGCCGGACUGAGAGGUUGAACGGCCACAUUGGGACUGAGACACGGCCCAGACUCCUACGGGAGGCAGCAGUGGGGAAUAUUGCACAAUGGGGGAAACCCUGAUGCAGCGACGCCGCGUGGAGGAAGAAGGUCUUCGGAUUGUAAACUCCUGUUGUUGGGGAAGAUAAUGACGGUACCCAACAAGGAAGUGACGGCUAACUACGUGCCAGCAGCCGCGGUAAAACGUAGGUCACAAGCGUUGUCCGGAAUUACUGGGUGUAAAGGGAGCGCAGGCGGGAAGACAAGUUGGAAGUGAAAUCUAUGGGCUCAACCCAUAAACUGCUUUCAAAACUGUUUUUCUUGAGUAGUGCAGAGGUAGGCGGAAUUCCCGGUGUAGCGGUGGAAUGCGUAGAUAUCGGGAGGAACACCAGUGGCGAAGGCGGCCUACUGGGCACCAACUGACGCUGAGGCUCGAAAGUGUGGGUAGCAAACAGGAUUAGAUACCCUGGUAGUCCACACCGUAAACGAUGAUUACUAGGUGUUGGAGGAUUGACCCCUUCAGUGCCGCAGUUAACACAAUAAGUAAUCCACCUGGGGAGUACGACCGCAAGGUUGAAACUCAAAGGAAUUGACGGGGGCCCGCACAAGCAGUGGAGUAUGUGGUUUAAUUCGACGCACCGCGAAGAACCUUAC
This 901-nucleotide ribosomal RNA is filed under the name Faecalibacterium prausnitzii. Its description in RNAcentral is "bacterial SSU rRNA". It matches the Rfam family "Bacterial small subunit ribosomal RNA", at positions 60 to 974 of the family's 1533-position model. Lineage: Bacteria; Bacillati; Bacillota; Clostridia; Eubacteriales; Oscillospiraceae. The record is from RNAcentral.